CCACGUGGCGGGCGUGCCUUACACAUGCAAGUCGAACGCUGAAGCACCAGCUUGCUGGUGUGGAUGAGUGGCGAACGGGUGAGUAAUACGUGAGUAACCUGCCCUUGACUCUGGGAUAAGCCCGGGAAACUGGGUCUAAUACUGGAUGCUACAUGUCACCGCAUGGUGGUGUGUGGAAAGGGUUUACUGGUCUUGGAUGGGCUCACGGCCUAUCAGCUUGUUGGUGAGGUAAUGGCUCACCAAGGCGACGACGGGUAGCCGGCCUGAGAGGGUGACCGGCCACACUGGGACUGAGACACGGCCCAGACUCCUACGGGAGGCAGCAGUGGGGAAUAUUGCACAAUGGGCGAAAGCCUGAUGCAGCGACGCCGCGUGAGGGAUGACGGCCUUCGGGUUGUAAACCUCUUUCAGCAGGGAAGAAGCCACAAGUGACGGUACCUGCAGAAGAAGCGCCGGCUAACUACGUGCCAGCAGCCGCGGUAAUACGUAGGGCGCAAGCGUUGUCCGGAAUUAUUGGGCGUAAAGAGCUCGUAGGCGGUUUGUCGCGUCUGCUGUGAAAGCCCGGGGCUUAACCCCCGGGUGUGCAGUGGGUACGGGCAGACUAGAGUGCAGUAGGGGGAGACUGGGAAUUCCUGGGUGUAGCGGGUGGAAUGCGCAGAUAUCAGAGGAACACCGAUGGCGAAAGCAGGUCUCUGGGCUGUUACUGACGCUGAGAGCGAAAGCAUGGGGAGCGAACAGGAUUAGAUACCCUGGUAGUCCAUGCCGUAGACGUUUGGGCACUAGGUGUGGGGGACAUUUCCACGGUUUUUCCGGCGCCGUAGCUGACGCAUUAAGUGCCCCCGCCCUGGGGGAGUACUGCCCGCAAUGCUUAAAACUCAAGGAAUGGACGGGGGCCCGCACUAGCCGGCGGAGCAUGCGGAUUUACUCGAUGCACGCGAGCAUCUACAGCCUUGACAUACCCGAUCGUCCAGAAUGCUCUCCCUUUUGGAUCGGUA
Molecule: ribosomal RNA, 995 nt
Filed under: Kocuria assamensis
Lineage: Bacteria; Bacillati; Actinomycetota; Actinomycetes; Micrococcales; Micrococcaceae
Also listed under: 1 other name
Description: bacterial SSU rRNA
Rfam family: Bacterial small subunit ribosomal RNA
Source: RNAcentral